GAUGAACGCUGGCGGCGUGCCUAAUACAUGCAAGUCGAGCGAACGGACGAGAAGCUUUCUUCUCUGAUGUUAUCGGCGGACGGGUGAGUAACACGUGGAUAACCUACCUAUAAGACUGGGAUAACUUCGGGAAACCGUAGCUAAUACCGGAUAAUAUUUUGAACCGCAUGGUUCAAAAGUUAAAGACGGUCUUGCUGUCACUUAUAGAUUGAUCCGCGCUGCAUUAGCUAGUUGGUAAGGUAACGGCUUACCAAGGCAACGAUGCAUAGCCGACCUGAGAGGGUGAUCGGACACACUGGAACUGAGACACGGUCCAGACUCCUACGGGAGGCAGCAGUAGGGAAUCUUCCGCAAUGGGCGAAAGCCUGACGGAGCAAAGCCGCGUGAGUGAUGAAGGUCUUCGGAUCGUAAAACUCUGUUAUUAGGGAAGAACAUAUGUGUAAGUAACUGUGCACAUCUUGACGGUACCUAAUCAGAAAGCCACGGCUAACUACGUG
RNAcentral lists this ribosomal RNA (497 nucleotides) under uncultured bacterium. RNAcentral describes it as "partial 16S ribosomal RNA". It matches the Rfam family "Bacterial small subunit ribosomal RNA", at positions 28 to 507 of the family's 1533-position model. The record is from RNAcentral.